This 302-nucleotide long non-coding RNA is filed under the name Macaca mulatta (Rhesus monkey). RNAcentral's name for it is "lncRNA (ENSMMUG00000053618.1)". The record is from RNAcentral. Lineage: Eukaryota; Metazoa; Chordata; Mammalia; Primates; Cercopithecidae.
AGGGCUUUUGUGGCUUUGCCCGCCCAGCUGCUCUGUGCCAGGAGGAGGAGACACCUGGAGCCUGUGACACCAUGGCUUGCCUCGCUGAGGGUGGCUGGCAGUGACGGAGACUGCAGCGUGCUGGAACGGCUUUUGUGGCUUUGCCCGCCCAGCUGCUCUGUGCCAGGAGGAGGAGGAGACACCUGGAGCCUGUGACACCACGGCUUGCCUCGCUGAGGGUGGGUGGCAGUGACGGAGACUGCAGCGUGCUGGAACUGUAGGAGAGUGACCACGCUAGGAGGUCAGGCGGCUGCAGCCAGGGU